This 428-nucleotide RNase P RNA is filed under the name Oscillospiraceae bacterium. Its description in RNAcentral is "RNase P RNA component class A". It matches the Rfam family "Bacterial RNase P class A". From Rfam's summary of the family: Ribonuclease P (RNase P) is a ubiquitous endoribonuclease, found in archaea, bacteria and eukarya as well as chloroplasts and mitochondria. Lineage: Bacteria; Bacillati; Bacillota; Clostridia; Eubacteriales; Oscillospiraceae. The record is from RNAcentral.
UGAGUAAGACAGACAGUCGCGUGGCGGCGGCGAAAGCCCCGUCAUGAGGAAAGUCCGGGCUCCAUAGGGCAAGGAUAACGGGUAACGCCCGCCGAAGGCGACUUCAGGAAAAGUGCAACAGAAAUAAACCGCAGAAUCGCGCGAGGGCUCCCUGCCGGGGCGCCUGCGAUUUGAUCGGGCGCUGUCCCAGAGGGGCGGUACCUGAUCUCUGCAAGGAUGGAAAGGCGAGGUAAGAGCUCACCCAUCGGCUGGAAACUGUCCGAUGCUGUAAACUCUAUCCGGAGCAACACCGUGGGAGAACAGGUCGAGCUUGCUCGAUCAGGACCGGCCCGGUCGUUCUCAAGGAGGUGGCUGGAGCGGUUUGGCAACAAACCGCCUAGAUAGAUGACUGUCAGAUACAGAACCCGGCUUAUAGUCUUACUCAAUAU